AGCGUAGGCGGCAUGGUAAGUCAGAUGUGAAAUCCCGGGGCUCAACCCCGGAACUGCAUCCGAUACUGCCUUGCUUGAGGGUUGGAGAGGUAGCUGGAAUUAUCGGUGUAGCAGUGAAAUGCGUGGAUAUCGAUAGGAACACUCGUGGCGAAGGCGAGCUACUGGACAACAUCUGACGCUGAGGCUCGAAGGCUAGGGGAGCAAAAG
This 207-nucleotide ribosomal RNA is filed under the name uncultured bacterium. Its description in RNAcentral is "partial 16S ribosomal RNA". It matches the Rfam family "Bacterial small subunit ribosomal RNA", at positions 568 to 774 of the family's 1533-position model. The record is from RNAcentral.